CACGCAGGCGGUCGUGUAAGUUUGGGGUUACAGCUCCCGGCUCAACUGGGAGAGCGCCUUGAAGACUGCAGGACUUGAGGGCCAGAGAGGGACACAGAAUUCCGGGUGUAGUGGUGAAAUGCGUAGAUAUCCGGAGGAAUACCAAAGGCGAAGGCAGUGUCCUGGCUGGUGACUGACGCUGAGGUGCGAAAGCUAGGGGAGCGAACGGGAUUAGAUACCCCGGUAGUCCUAGCCGUAAACGAUGACCACUAGGUGUGGGAGGUAUCGACCCCUUCCGUGCCGUAGCAAACGUGAUAAGUGGUCCGCCUGGGGAGUACGGUCGCAAGAUUAAA
This 332-nucleotide ribosomal RNA is filed under the name uncultured bacterium. Its description in RNAcentral is "bacterial SSU rRNA". It matches the Rfam family "Bacterial small subunit ribosomal RNA", at positions 568 to 898 of the family's 1533-position model. The record is from RNAcentral.